UAUCUUUUAGUGUAAUAAGCACAUAAUUUUUUGAAUUUUAAAGUAAUAGCAAUUAAAGAUAA
RNAcentral lists this transfer RNA (62 nucleotides) under Sphaeroma serratum. Its description in RNAcentral is "tRNA-Gln". The record is from RNAcentral. Lineage: Eukaryota; Metazoa; Arthropoda; Malacostraca; Isopoda; Sphaeromatidae.